This is a long non-coding RNA of Bactrocera neohumeralis, 398 nucleotides long. RefSeq lists it as uncharacterized. The record is from RefSeq and is a predicted model, not a curated record. NCBI's taxonomy places the organism in Eukaryota, Metazoa, Arthropoda, Insecta, Diptera, Tephritidae. The transcript has 2 exons.
AGUGUUUGGAAUAUGGAAAAUUAGCCAAUUUGAACGCGCAUGCAAUCACUGCAGCAGUUGGGUACAGAAAAUAUCUUCAGUGGGUCUAAUGAUUUACGAAGCUUUUUUUGAAGCAAGCUCAAUCGAAAGGUUGCUGAUGUCAACAGUAAGUCUUUCCUCGCUGUUAAUCAUGCCCCUGUUGGAUCAGAAAGUAUUCAAAGCGGAUCAUCCAAUUGUAUUUGUGAUACAAAGAAGACCUCUCUACUUUGUGCAUUGGUCCAUAUUGCACCCCAGAGGUUUUAUAAGUUCUAGUUGUCUAGAAACAUUAUUUUGAAUAAUUAGAUUUAUAUUUUUUUUUAUAUAAUAAAAAAUAAUCCAUAAAUAAGUAUAGUGAAAUAAAAUAAAAAUCUGAAAGUUGA